Molecule: ribosomal RNA, 911 nt
Filed under: Microbacterium sp.
Lineage: Bacteria; Bacillati; Actinomycetota; Actinomycetes; Micrococcales; Microbacteriaceae
Description: bacterial SSU rRNA
Rfam family: Bacterial small subunit ribosomal RNA
Source: RNAcentral
CGAACGAUGAAGCCCAGCUUGCUGGGUGGAUUAGUGGCGAACGGGUGAGUAACACGUGAGCAACCUGCCCCUGACUCUGGGAUAAGCGCUGGAAACGGCGUCUAAUACUGGAUAUGUCCCGUCACCGCAUGGUGUGCGGGUGGAAAGAUUUUUCGGUUGGGGAUGGGCUCGCGGCCUAUCAGCUUGUUGGUGAGGUAAUGGCUCACCAAGGCGUCGACGGGUAGCCGGCCUGAGAGGGUGACCGGCCACACUGGGACUGAGACACGGCCCAGACUCCUACGGGAGGCAGCAGUGGGGAAUAUUGCACAAUGGGCGGAAGCCUGAUGCAGCAACGCCGCGUGAGGGAUGACGGCCUUCGGGUUGUAAACCUCUUUUAGCAGGGAAGAAGCGAAAGUGACGGUACCUGCAGAAAAAGCACCGGCUAACUACGUGCCAGCAGCCGCGGUAAUACGUAGGGUGCAAGCGUUAUCCGGAAUUAUUGGGCGUAAAGAGCUCGUAGGCGGUCUGUCGCGUCUGCUGUGAAAUUCCGAGGCUCAACCUCGGGCUUGCAGUGGGUACGGGCAGACUAGAGUGCGGUAGGGGAGAUUGGAAUUCCUGGUGUAGCGGUGGAAUGCGCAGAUAUCAGGAGGAACACCGAUGGCGAAGGCAGAUCUCUGGGCCGUAACUGACGCUGAGGAGCGAAAGGGUGGGGAGCAAACAGGCUUAGAUACCCUGGUAGUCCACCCCGUAAACGUUGGGAACUAGUUGUGGGGUCCUUUCCACGGAUUCCGUGACGCAGCUAACGCAUUAAGUUCCCCGCCUGGGGAGUACGGCCGCAAGGCUAAAACUCAAAGGAAUUGACGGGGACCCGCACAAGCGGCGGAACAUGCGGAUUAAUUCGAUGCAACGCGAAGAACCUUACCAAGGCUUGA